This 653-nucleotide ribosomal RNA is filed under the name uncultured prokaryote. Its description in RNAcentral is "bacterial SSU rRNA". It matches the Rfam family "Bacterial small subunit ribosomal RNA", at positions 28 to 670 of the family's 1533-position model. The record is from RNAcentral.
AUUGAACGCUGGCGGCAGGCCUAACACAUGCAAGUCGAGCGGUAACACAGAGGAGCUUGCUCCUUGGGUGACGAGCGGCGGACGGGUGAGUAAUGCCUGGGGAUCUGCCCGAUAGAGGGGGAUAACUACGGGAAACUGUAGCUAAUACCGCAUAAUGUCUACGGACCAAAGUGGGGGCUCUUCGGACCUCAUGCUAUCGGAUGAACCCAGGUGGGAUUAGCUAGUUGGUGAGGUAAUGGCUCACCAAGGCGACGAUCUCUAACUGGUUUGAGAGAAUGACCAGUCACACUGGAACUGAGACACGGUCCAGACUCCUACGGGAGGCAGCAGUGGGGAAUAUUGCACAAUGGGCGCAAGCCUGAUGCAGCCAUGCCGCGUGUGUGAAGAAGGCCUUCGGGUUGUAAAGCACUUUCAGCGGGGAGGAAGGGUCACUAGUUAAUACCUAGUGGCAUUGACGUUACUCGCAGAAGAAGCACCGGCUAACUCCGUGCCAGCAGCCGCGGUAAUACGGAGGGUGCAAGCGUUAAUUGNAAUUACUGGGCGUAAAGCGCACGCAGGCGGUUUGUUAAGUCANAUGUGAAAUCCCCGAGCUCAACUUGGGAACUGCAUUUGAAACUGGCAAGCUAGAGUCUUGUANAGGGGGGUAGAAUUCC